RNAcentral lists this ribosomal RNA (452 nucleotides) under uncultured bacterium. Its description in RNAcentral is "bacterial SSU rRNA". It matches the Rfam family "Bacterial small subunit ribosomal RNA", at positions 29 to 524 of the family's 1533-position model. The record is from RNAcentral.
AGCGAACGCUGGCGGCAGGCUUAACACAUGCAAGUCGAGCGGGCGUAGCAAUACGUCAGCGGCAGACGGGUGAGUAACGCGUGGGAACGUACCUUUUGGUUCGGAACAACACAGGGAAACUUGUGCUAAUACCGGAUAAGCCCUUACGGGGAAAGAUUUAUCGCCGAAAGAUCGGCCCGCGUCUGAUUAGCUAGUUGGUGAGGUAACGGCUCACCAAGGCGACGAUCAGUAGCUGGUCUGAGAGGAUGAUCAGCCACAUUGGGACUGAGACACGGCCCAAACUCCUACGGGAGGCAGCAGUGGGGAAUAUUGGACAAUGGGGGCAACCCUGAUCCAGCCAUGCCGCGUGAGUGAUGAAGGCCCUAGGGUUGUAAAGCUCUUUUGUGCGGGAAGAUAAUGACGGUACCGCAAGAAUAAGCCCCGGCUAACUUCGUGCCAGCAGCCGCGGUAAU